GAAAACAAGAUAAAUUACUUACUACCACGGCUAAAGAUAAUUUAACGGUAUGAAAAUAUUACACCAAGAAGCUGUUUGGUAAUCGAGAUGAAAUAGACAAAGACCCUAGUGGUAAUUGGUAUAUAUAAUUUAAGCAGAUAAAAAUCAAAAAGGCAUCUGAACUAUUUAUUUAUUUUAUUUUGUUUUUUCAUCUAAACCAUCACUUUCUCACAAGUUUCACACCCCAUUUACUAGUUGUUCCUUUUUCUACUUGAACCUGUCAGCCCCAUACUCUCACUCCCCAUUUACUAGUUGUUCCUUUUUCUACUUGAACCUGUUAGCCCCAUACUCUCACUUUAUGUUUUAAUAAGGAAAAACUAAUAAUCAAACUAUCUUGUAGGAUACGUCGAAGAUACAAAGGAUCAAACAAAAUCAAUCCAGAACGGAAGCAAGCAUCUACUCACAAGAAAGCCGGCUUCAAGAUGGGAAGAACAUCAAUCGCGUAGAUUAUUGGCUUCCAAGACUUAUGGCAAUCGAAUCAAUCAAGAAUAAGAGCAAAAGGAAAGAAGAUCACAGCAUCAAUCACGGAGAAUACUGACCUCCCAGAAUUACGGCAAACCGAAUCAAUCAAGACUAAGAGCAAGAGGAAAAAAGGUCACACCCUCUACAUGGAUAUAUCUGAUAUGGACAUGUAUGAUUGUGGAAGCUGCACCACGUAUGAACAUAUCCGGUAUGGACAUACUUUAUAGUGUCAUUCCUCAAUAAAGGAAACAAUUCAAAUCCUUGAUUGAGAAGAAAUCUCUUGAGUUUCCUUAUAAAGAAUAAAAGUCGAAGCAGUUGAAGAUUAUAAAAGAAAAGACCAAAGACUUUCUCAGAGUGUCUCAAUCUUAGUCUCUCAAAACUUUGUACUUCUUAGUUUACAAUAGGUAUACAAAGAAUAAGAUCGAGUCGACUUUGUAACACAAACCGAGACUGUUUCAUAAGAUCUGAAGAAAAAAAUAAGUCUUCAAAACUUGUUCAUCACCAUUGUACUCGAACUCCACUUUGAAAGAUCUAAGGAAACUUUGAAACCCAAGGUGACUGGAAGUAGACACCAUAUUAGUGUUCCGAAUCAGGAUAAAUCUUCGUAUUUUCUAUUUCAAGUUGCUUAUUUACUUAUCUGCUUGUUUAAAUCUAAUCGAGUUUGUGAAGUAUAUUGAUUUGCAGGUAAGUCGACUGUGAAGACUCAAUAGAACUCGACUCAUGAAAAUUUUUAAUUCACCCCCUUAGUUAGCCAACUAUUAAUUAUUUCCUUUUUCAAUCUGAACUAUCGAUGUUAAUCAAGUAGGUAUGUUUUAAUAUAUAGAUGAUGACAAC
RNAcentral lists this long non-coding RNA (1335 nucleotides) under Capsicum annuum. Its description in RNAcentral is "long non-coding RNA (CANN_LNC022056)". Lineage: Eukaryota; Viridiplantae; Streptophyta; Magnoliopsida; Solanales; Solanaceae. The record is from RNAcentral.